UUUGGUUAAGUUAGAAAGGGCGCACGGUGGAUGCCUUGACACUAGGAGUCGAUGAAGGACGGGACUAACGCCGAUAUGCUUCGGGGAGCUGUAAGUAAGCUUUGAUCCGAAGAUUUCCGAAUGGGGAAACCCACCAUACGUAAUGGUAUGGUAUCCUUAUCUGAAUACAUAGGGUAAGGAAGACAGACCCAGGGAACUGAAACAUCUAAGUACCUGGAGGAAGAGAAAGCAAAUGCGAUUUCCUGAGUAGCGGCGAGCGAAACGGAACAUAGCCCAAACCAAGAGGCUUGCCUCUUGGGGUUGUAGGACAUUCUAUACGGAGUUACAAAGGAACGAGGUAGACGAAGCGACCUGGAAAGGUCCGUCGUAGAGGGUAACAACCCCGUAGUCGAAACUUCGUUCUCUCUUGAAUGUAUCCUGAGUACGGCGGAACACGUGAAAUUCCGUCGGAAUCUGGGAGGACCAUCUCCCAAGGCUAAAUACUCCCUAGUGAUCGAUAGUGAACCAGUACCGUGAGGGAAAGGUGAAAAGCACCCCGGAAGGGGAGUGAAAGAGAUCCUGAAACCGUGUGCCUACAAAUAGUCAGAGCCCGUUAACGGGUGAUGGCGUGCCUUUUGUAGAAUGAACCGGCGAGUUACGAUCCCGUGCGAGGUUAAGCUGAAGAGGCGGAGCCGCAGCGAAAGCGAGUCUGAAUAGGGCGUUUAGUACGUGGUCGUAGACCCGAAACCAGGUGAUCUACCCAUGUCCAGGGUGAAGUUCAGGUAACACUGAAUGGAGGCCCGAACCCACGCACGUUGAAAAGUGCGGGGAUGAGGUGUGGGUAGCGGAGAAAUUCCAAUCGAACCUGGAGAUAGCUGGUUCUCCCCGAAAUAGCUUUAGGGCUAGCCUUAAGUGUAAGAGUCUUGGAGGUAGAGCACUGAUUGGACUAGGGGUCCUCAUCGGAUUACCGAAUUCAGUCAAACUCCGAAUGCCAAUGACUUAUCCUUAGGAGUCAGACUGCGAGUGAUAAGAUCCGUAGUCAAAAGGGAAACAGCCCAGACCGCCAGCUAAGGUCCCAAAGUGUGUAUUAAGUGGAAAAGGAUGUGGAGUUGCUUAGACAACUAGGAUGUUGGCUUAGAAGCAGCCACCAUUUAAAGAGUGCGUAAUAGCUCACUAGUCGAGUGACUCUGCGCCGAAAAUGUACCGGGGCUAAAUACACCACCGAAGCUGCGGAUUGAUACCAAUGGUAUCAGUGGUAGGGGAGCGUUCUAAGGACAGUGAAGUCAGACCGGAAGGACUGGUGGAGUGCUUAGAAGUGAGAAUGCCGGUAUGAGUAGCGAAAGACGGGUGAGAAUCCCGUCCACCGAAUGCCUAAGGUUUCCUGAGGAAGGCUCGUCCGCUCAGGGUUAGUCAGGACCUAAGCCGAGGCCGACAGGCGUAGGCGAUGGACAACAGGUUGAUAUUCCUGUACCACCUCUUUAUCGUUUGAGCAAUGGAGGGACGCAGAAGGAUAGAAGAAGCGUGCGAUUGGUUGUGCACGUCCAAGCAGUUAGGCUGAUAAGUAGGCAAAUCCGCUUAUCGUGAAGGCUGAGCUGUGAUGGGGAAGCUCCUUAUGGAGCGAAGUCUUUGAUUCCCCGCUGCCAAGAAAAGCUUCUAGCGAGAUAAAAGGUGCCUGUACCGCAAACCGACACAGGUAGGCGAGGAGAGAAUCCUAAGGUGUGCGAGAGAACUCUGGUUAAGGAACUCGGCAAAAUGACCCCGUAACUUCGGGAGAAGGGGUGCUUUCUUAACGGAAAGCCGCAGUGAAUAGGCCCAAGCGACUGUUUAGCAAAAACACAGCUCUCUGCGAAGCCGUAAGGCGAAGUAUAGGGGGUGACACCUGCCCGGUGCUGGAAGGUUAAGGAGAGGGGUUAGCGUAAGCGAAGCUCUGAACUGAAGCCCCAGUAAACGGCGGCCGUAACUAUAACGGUCCUAAGGUAGCGAAAUUCCUUGUCGGGUAAGUUCCGACCCGCACGAAAGGUGUAACGAUUUGGGCACUGUCUCAACCAGAGACUCGGUGAAAUUAUAGUACCUGUGAAGAUGCAGGUUACCCGCGACAGGACGGAAAGACCCCGUGGAGCUUUACUGUAGCCUGAUAUUGAAUUUUGGUACAGUUUGUACAGGAUAGGCGGGAGCCUUUGAAACCGGAGCGCUAGCUUCGGUGGAGGCGCUGGUGGGAUACCGCCCUGACUGUAUUGAAAUUCUAACCUACGGGUCUUAUCGACCCGGGAGACAGUGUCAGGUGGGCAGUUUGACUGGGGCGGUCGCCUCCUAAAGUGUAACGGAGGCGCCCAAAGGUUCCCUCAGAAUGGUUGGAAAUCAUUCGUAGAGUGCAAAGGCAUAAGGGAGCUUGACUGCGAGACCUACAAGUCGAGCAGGGACGAAAGUCGGGCUUAGUGAUCCGGUGGUUCCGCAUGGAAGGGCCAUCGCUCAACGGAUAAAAGCUACCCCGGGGAUAACAGGCUUAUCUCCCCCAAGAGUCCACAUCGACGGGGAGGUUUGGCACCUCGAUGUCGGCUCAUCGCAUCCUGGGGCUGUAGUCGGUCCCAAGGGUUGGGCUGUUCGCCCAUUAAAGCGGUACGCGAGCUGGGUUCAGAACGUCGUGAGACAGUUCGGUCCCUAUCCGUCGUGGGCGUAGGAAAUUUGAGAGGAGCUGUCCUUAGUACGAGAGGACCGGGAUGGACGCACCGCUGGUGUACCAGUUGUUCUGCCAAGGGCAUAGCUGGGUAGCUAUGUGCGGAAGGGAUAAGUGCUGAAAGCAUC
This 2781-nucleotide ribosomal RNA is filed under the name Bacillus anthracis (anthrax bacterium). RNAcentral's name for it is "bacterial LSU rRNA". It matches the Rfam family "Bacterial large subunit ribosomal RNA". Lineage: Bacteria; Bacillati; Bacillota; Bacilli; Caryophanales; Bacillaceae. The record is from RNAcentral.